CAGCCGCCGCGGGAAUACCAGCACCUCGAGUGGUCAGGAGGUUUAUUGGGCCUAAAGCAUCCGUAGCCGGUUGCAUAAGUUUUCGGUUAAAUCUAUGCGCUUAACGUAUAGGCCGCCGAAAAUACUGUGCAGCUAGGGAGUGGGAGAGGUACACGGUACUCGAUAGGAAGGGGUAAAAUCCUUUGAUCUAUUGAUGACCACCUGUGGCGAAGGCGGUGUACCAGAACACGUUCGACGGUGAGGGAUGAAAGCUGGGGGAGCAAACCGGAUUAGAUACCCCUGUAGUCCCUGUCUCUUAUAC
RNAcentral lists this ribosomal RNA (301 nucleotides) under uncultured bacterium. RNAcentral's name for it is "partial 16S ribosomal RNA". It matches the Rfam family "Archaeal small subunit ribosomal RNA", at positions 459 to 760 of the family's 1478-position model. The record is from RNAcentral.